GGAAAAUAAAAACAGCAGACCUAUGAAGGUCGAAGGGGAAGAAAAGCUGUAUCGAUUGUUGAGAUCUGGCGACUUGUUUAAAUUUCAUCAGCCUCACUUCUAUGAACUCUCAGAGCUGAUUACCAACUCCUACCACUGUUAACCCUCAUCCAGGAACAAGCUUAUGUCUUUAACAUUCUGAGUGGGCUUCAGCAUCCUUGCAUAUGUUCAAUUCUUAAAAACCUGUUGAAAUAAAAGAUCAGGAGACAUAGGAAGGAUGCCAGAAGAGAGCGUGGCCUCACGUGUACCAGCUCUCUGCUCUCCUUUGCCUUGGGACGUUCCAUCCCUGGAAGUUUCCCUGCCCACAUCUUUGUAGAGAGUCCAUUCUCCAAGCUUCAGUGUGUCAUCUGUGAGGACCGUGACCCACCUGGUACAUCGCCUCAGGGCAUUCAUUUCAGGCUCCUUCUAAAUGGCCAAGAGACAACACCAACAUUUUUGUAAUGGCCUGCAAGGCCUUCCGAGAUCUACCUCCUGCAACUCAGCUUCUCCUGUGCUCUCCUUCUGGACUCACUCUGCCUCAGCAACACUGGUCCCUGUUGCCCCACCAAUAUGCCAGAGCUGCAGCAAGCUGUUCGUCAGAGUCAUCUUUGGUGACUAUCUGCCUACAGGCAUUCCUUUGCACUCUGGGUGUAGCCCUCAGUGCUGGGCUUACAAAGAAGACGACACAAAAGCAACCAUGAAAAGAUCUUGGAAGCAGAGGGAUCUGCAGAAGUGCUUGCAACACUUUCAGCCUUAACCAGCAUCAGAGACAAAAAUCCUUUCUGGAAUGAGCCUCUCAGGAACCUCUAGUGUUUGUGAAGUUCCUCAGGAAAUCUGAGGACAAGUGAGUUUGGAAAUGACACUGAGGGAUGGGGAAACAGGACUGCUGAUGAAGCUGACCAUCCUCAAGCCAGCUGCCAUAUUGGGAGCCAUCCUUCAGAAAGGCCUACUUGGCCAGCAACUGAGGGAAGCUUCAAGCCAGUGGCCAAUGAGAAACUAAGGCCCUCAUGCCAACAGCUUGAGGAUAAUUGAAUCCUGCCAGCCACCAUAUGAGAGACUUAGAAGUGGAUCCUUCCCGGUAGCGCCUUCAGAAGACACUGCAACCUUGUGGGAAAUCUCAGGCAGAGACAUCCAUCUAAGCUGCACCUGGAUAUGCAUGUGACAGAAGAUAAUAUGACAAAUGUUGUUAAAGCCACUAAAAUUUUAGAGUUAUUUGUUGUGCAAUAAUAGAUAACUUAUACAGCUGUGGUGCCAGGAGUUGGGUUUGAAACCCCUGAAACUUUCUAUAUUUUCUACAUUAAGAAGUAAUAUCUCUUA
Molecule: long non-coding RNA, 1335 nt
Filed under: Homo sapiens (human)
Lineage: Eukaryota; Metazoa; Chordata; Mammalia; Primates; Hominidae
Description: testis expressed 41
Source: RNAcentral